This 316-nucleotide ribosomal RNA is filed under the name Oplegnathus punctatus (spotted knifejaw). Its description in RNAcentral is "partial large subunit ribosomal RNA". It matches the Rfam family "Bacterial large subunit ribosomal RNA", at positions 2102 to 2569 of the family's 2925-position model. Lineage: Eukaryota; Metazoa; Chordata; Actinopteri; Centrarchiformes; Oplegnathidae. The record is from RNAcentral.
UAGACACCAAGGCAGAUCAUGUUAAGCACCCCCGAAUAAAGGACUAAACCAGAGGAUUCCUGCCCUAAUGUCUUUGGUUGGGGCGACCGUGGGGAAACAAAAAACCCCCAUGUGGAACGGGAAUACCCUUUCCUAAAACUAAGAGCCCCCGCUCUAAUAAGCAGAAUUUCUGACCAAUCAGAUCCGGCAACGCCGAUCAACGGACCGAGUUACCCUAGGGAUAACAGCGCAAUCCUCUUUUAGAGCCCAUAUCGACAAGAGGGUUUACGACCUCGAUGUUGGAUCAGGACAUCCUAAUGGUGCAGCCGCUAUUAAG